RNAcentral lists this unclassified non-coding RNA (220 nucleotides) under plant metagenome. RNAcentral's name for it is "partial contains small subunit ribosomal RNA, internal transcribed spacer 1, and 5.8S ribosomal RNA". The record is from RNAcentral.
UUUCCGUAGGUGAACCUGCGGAAGGAUCAUUACAGAGUUCAUGCCCUCACGGGUAGAUCUCCCACCCUUGAAUAUUUAUACCUUAGUUGCUUUGGCAGGCCGUGGAAACACCAUGGGCUCCGGCUUAUGCGUGCCUGCCAGAGGAAACAAACUCUGUUUUUAGUGAUGUCUGAGUACUAUAUAAUAGCUAAAACUUUCAACAACGGAUCUCUUGGUUCUG